UACGGAGGGUGCAAGCGUUGUUCGGAAUCACUGGGCGUAAAGGGCGCGUAGGCGGUUUGAUAAGUCAGAUGUGAAAGCCCACGGCUUAACUGUGGAAGUGCAUUUGAAACUGUCAGACUUGAGUAUCAGAGGGGAAAGUGGAAUUCCCGGUGUAGAGGUGAAAUUCGUAGAUAUCGGGAGGAAUACCGGUGGCGAAGGCGACUUUCUGGCUGAAUACUGACGCUGAGGCGCGAAAGCGUGGGGAGCAAACAGG
RNAcentral lists this ribosomal RNA (253 nucleotides) under uncultured bacterium. Its description in RNAcentral is "partial 16S ribosomal RNA". It matches the Rfam family "Bacterial small subunit ribosomal RNA", at positions 524 to 776 of the family's 1533-position model. The record is from RNAcentral.